RNAcentral lists this microRNA precursor (91 nucleotides) under Pelodiscus sinensis (Chinese soft-shelled turtle). Its description in RNAcentral is "microRNA 128-2 (ENSPSIG00000019640.1)". It matches the Rfam family "mir-128 microRNA precursor family". The record is from RNAcentral. Lineage: Eukaryota; Metazoa; Chordata; Testudines; Trionychidae.
CAGCGAUGGGCAGUUGGAAGGGGGGCCGUUACACUGUAAGAGAGUGAGUAGCAGGUCUCACAGUGAACCGGUCUCUUUUCCUACUGUGUCA